GCCUUCUUAGCGCAAUUGGCAGCACAUCAGUCUCAUAAUCUGAAAGUCCUGCGUUCAAGCCUCAGAGAAGGCA
This is a non-coding RNA of Gopherus flavomarginatus (Mexican gopher tortoise), 73 nucleotides long. Lineage: Eukaryota; Metazoa; Chordata; Testudines; Testudinidae. The record is from the annotation of a RefSeq genome assembly.